ACAAUUUCAACCUCACAGCACAACACGGAGCAAAAACCCUGCAUUUGUGUCUAAGUGUGAGCUUUCAAAGGUGUAAUGUCAGCUGCUGAUUGGUCAUUAACGUUGAUAAUGUUAGCAUGAUUACAUUUCCAGCUUAAGAGGGAAUUGCAGUUCAUGACUUUGGGGAUUGGAGCCGCUUGUACUGGGUAUUGCUUAUUCAUAUUCUCAAUCCUGGCAGCAGUGAGUUAUGCUUCAAGAGUUGGAUUUAGUUUCUUGUAUAUGUAACUGCUGUACCAGCAUGUGGACAACAUAUCACAGGAUUCAGUUCCACAAAUUUUCCAGCAUAAGAAAACAAAGAUUGUCAUACUAAUCAGAAUUGGAAUACGAAGUGAGGAUCUAAAAGAUUCACUAGAAAAAUCAGUCAAGGGAAGUGGGAUUGCUCUUUUGUCUCCAAGACUUGUAAUCCCUGCAGCAAUAUAUGGAAUAUGGGUCCUGCUUCACCAGAACUUUGCUACUGAUCUCUUUGAUUUCCAGAUUGUGCCUGCUAUGUUGGGAUUAUUUGCUUACAAAGCUGCUGCGCUCGUUUAAGUUUGUAGAGAUAAUGAAGACUUGUAAAUCAUCUUUCCAGAUACCGAGGAAAGCUCAGGUGUCUGAAAACUCAUGUCUUGCUUCAAACAUAGAACAUUUUACCUUCCCCAGUUCAGAAAACUAUUGUUAAUACUGAAACUGAAAUUUUGGUGCUGGAGGCUGGAGCACACUUUUUCUUGGAAAAAAUUCUAUAUAUGUAUGAGUUGGUUUGAUCUGUAUGUAUUGUAGGAUACUAGGAGGCAUAUGUAGUAUAGAGAUCCAACUUUCUGCCUUUGUAGGUACUAUAGCUGGUGAUAAUAUAUUUGUUAACCUUUUCGUCCGAGCUACGCCAUUAGCUUAGUUGUUUUAACAGCACCAUCCAGCACAAGAAGGGGAAAUCACAGUCAAGUUAUUUAUGUGCUUAUGAAAGAUUGUCAGGAGGCCGAUAUCUAGAAGAAAAAAAAAAAAAUGGGAAAAAGAAAUUAUCAAGAAUUGCUCUGAUUUCGGCAAUAAAAAUGUAAAAGCAAACUUCAUGUUUAAUCUACAAAUUAUAAUCACUUUCACUACAA
This is a long non-coding RNA of Chenopodium quinoa (quinoa), 1115 nucleotides long. RefSeq lists it as uncharacterized. The record is from RefSeq and is a predicted model, not a curated record. The transcript has 5 exons. NCBI's taxonomy places the organism in Eukaryota, Viridiplantae, Streptophyta, Magnoliopsida, Caryophyllales, Amaranthaceae.